RNAcentral lists this signal recognition particle RNA (293 nucleotides) under Crocodylus porosus (Australian saltwater crocodile). RNAcentral's name for it is "Metazoan signal recognition particle RNA (ENSCPRG00005018661.1)". It matches the Rfam family "Metazoan signal recognition particle RNA". From Rfam's summary of the family: The signal recognition particle (SRP) is a universally conserved ribonucleoprotein. It is involved in the co-translational targeting of proteins to membranes. Lineage: Eukaryota; Metazoa; Chordata; Crocodylia; Crocodylidae. The record is from RNAcentral.
GCCGCCACGCUGGCGCGUGCCUGCAAUCCCCGCUGCUGGGGAGCAGAAGCUGGUGGAUCACUUGAGCAGGGCAGCUCUGGGCUGCCUUGUGCCCUGCUGAGCAGGAGUCCACCCUAGGGCUGGCACCAACCUGCUGGUGCAUGGGGAGCUGCACGUCCCCAGGUCACUAAGCAAGUGAGCCAGCUCCAGCCGGGAAAGGUGCAGGUCAAAGCUCCUGUGCUGACCCGUGCUGGGACAGCGCCUGCGAAUGGCCCUCGUGCCACGCCUGGGCAAGAGAGGGGGCUCAGCCUCUU